This 418-nucleotide ribosomal RNA is filed under the name uncultured eukaryote. Its description in RNAcentral is "bacterial SSU rRNA". It matches the Rfam family "Eukaryotic small subunit ribosomal RNA", at positions 592 to 1017 of the family's 1831-position model. The record is from RNAcentral.
CAAUAGCGUAUAUUAAAGUUGUUGCGGUUAAAAGCUCGUAGUUGGAUUUCUGCCGAGGACGACCGGUCCGCCCUCUGGAUCGUGUACUGAUCGGUCUGUUCUUCUUCGCGAAGACCGCGUGUGCCCUUAACUGGGUGGGCGCGGGAUUCGCGACGUUUACUUUGAAAAAUUAGAGUGUUCAAAGCAGGCAGUCGCUUGAAUAUCUCAGCAUGGAAUAAUAGAAUAGGACUUUGGUCUUAUUUUGUUGGUUUCCGAGACCGAAGUAAUGAUUAAUAGGGACAGUUGGGGGCAUUCGUAUUUCAUUGUCAGAGGUGAAAUUCUUGGAUUUAUGAAAGACUAACUACUGCGAAAGCAUUUGCCAAGGAUGUUUUCAUUAAUCAAGAACGAAAGUUAGGGGAUCGAAGAUGAUCAGAUACCA